UGAUGCGAUCAUACCAGCACUAAAGCAACGGAUCUCAUCAGAGCUCCGAAGUUAAGCGUGCUUGGGCGAGAGUAGUACUAGGAUGGUUGGCCUCCUGGGAAGUCCUCGUGUUGCAUUCC
This 119-nucleotide ribosomal RNA is filed under the name Zea mays. The record is from RNAcentral. Lineage: Eukaryota; Viridiplantae; Streptophyta; Magnoliopsida; Poales; Poaceae.